AACGAACGCUGGCGGCAUGCUUAACACAUGCAGGUCGAACGCGUGGUCACGGUUCGCCGGGGCCAUGAGUGGCGCACGGGUGAGUAGCGCGUGGGAACCUGCCCUGUUGUGGGGGAUAACCGAGGGAAACCUCGGCUAAUACCGCAUAAGCCGGGUGUCUUGAGAGAGGCAUUCGGGAAAGAUUUAUCGCGACAGGAGGGGCCCGCGUCGGAUUAGCUGGUUGGUGGGGUAACGGCCUACCAAGGCGAUGAUCCGUAGCUGGUCUGAGAGGAUGAUCAGCCACACUGGGACUGAGACACGGCCCAGACUCCUACGGGAGGCAGCAGUGGGGAAUAUUGGACAAUGGGCGCAAGCCUGAUCCAGCAAUGCCGCGUGAGUGAGGAAGGCCUUAGGGUUGUAAAGCUCUUUCACCCGCGACGAUGAUGACGGUAGCGGGAGAAGAAGCCCCGGCUAACUUCGUGCCAGCCGCCGCUGUAAG
This 478-nucleotide ribosomal RNA is filed under the name uncultured bacterium. RNAcentral describes it as "bacterial SSU rRNA". It matches the Rfam family "Bacterial small subunit ribosomal RNA", at positions 28 to 524 of the family's 1533-position model. The record is from RNAcentral.